This 253-nucleotide ribosomal RNA is filed under the name uncultured bacterium. RNAcentral's name for it is "partial 16S ribosomal RNA". It matches the Rfam family "Bacterial small subunit ribosomal RNA", at positions 524 to 776 of the family's 1533-position model. The record is from RNAcentral.
CACGUAGGGUGCGAGCGUUGUCCGAAUUAUUGGGCGUAAAGAGCUCGUAGGCGGUGUGUCGCGUCGGCCGUGAAAACCUGCAGCUUAACUGUGGGCUUGCGGUCGAUACGGGCAUCACUGGAGUUCGGCAGGGGAGACUGGAAUUCCUGGUGUAGCGGUGAAAUGCGCAGAUAUCAGGAGGAACACCGGUGGCGAAGGCGGGUCUCUGGGCCGAUACUGACGCUGAGGAGCGAAAGCGUGGGGAGCGAACAGG